This 378-nucleotide ribosomal RNA is filed under the name Triticum aestivum (bread wheat). RNAcentral's name for it is "partial small subunit ribosomal RNA". The record is from RNAcentral. Lineage: Eukaryota; Viridiplantae; Streptophyta; Magnoliopsida; Poales; Poaceae.
GUAUGCCUUGUCCCCUAUCUAUUGAGGGGACUCGGAUAUCCGAUUCAUCCGUUUCUCCGCGGGCUCCUGGAGUUUUAUGGCCUCCAACUGCAUAAUUUUACCCCGGCUUCCAUUUUACACAUCAUCGGCUAUGUUGCCCUCUGCAAGUUGUUUCUGGGCUGCGAGGCUCAUUUCGAGCUGUGGCAAAGGUUAUUUUGCCUCGUCCCUCGCACACAGAAGGGAUCACUUUAUCAAGUGGGCGGAGCCGGAAUAUGGCGCAUCGCCGAAACCGGAUACCUGUCCGGUACUCCGAAGAAGACGUCCGAAGACUGGCCUUCAGAAUGGUUUUACAUGGAGGACGUCCCCCUUCCGGACCCUGUUCGCGCGGGGCCUUCCUGA